CAGUCGCCACGGUAAUACGUAGGGUGCAAGCGUUAAUCGGAAUUACUGGGCGUAAAGCGUGCGCAGGCGGUUAUAUAAGACAGAUGUGAAAUCCCCGGGCUCAACCUGGGAACUGCAUUUGUGACUGUAUAGCUAGAGUACGGCAGAGGGGGAUGGAAUUCCGCGUGUAGCAGUGAAAUGCGUAGAUAUGCGGAGGAACACCGAUGGCGAAGGCAAUCCCCUGGGCCUGUACUGACGCUCAUGCACGAAAGCGUGGGGAGCAAACAGGAUUAGAUACCCCCGUAGUCCCUGUCUCUUAUAA
Molecule: ribosomal RNA, 301 nt
Filed under: uncultured bacterium
Lineage: Bacteria
Description: partial 16S ribosomal RNA
Rfam family: Bacterial small subunit ribosomal RNA
Source: RNAcentral